CAAUAGCGUAUAUUAAAGUUGUUGCAGUUAAAAAGCUCGUAGUUGGAUCUGUGGUAGUUCCUGGGGUCCAAUUCUGGUACUCCUGGGGACUGCCAUCCUUGGGUGGAUCUUGUGUGGCAUUAGGUUGUCGCGCAGGGGAUGCCCAUCGUUUACUGUGAAAAAAUUAGAGUGUUCAAAGCAGGCUUAUGCCAUUGAAUAGAUUAGCAUGGAAUAAUGAGAUAGGACCUUGGUACUAUUUUGUUGGUUUGUGCACCAAGGUAAUGAUUAAUAGGGACAGUUGUGGGUAUUCGUAUUCCAUUGUCAGAGGUGAAAUUCUUGGAUUUUUGGAAGACGAACUAAUGCGAANGNAUUUACNAAGGAUGUUUNCAUUA
RNAcentral lists this ribosomal RNA (371 nucleotides) under uncultured eukaryote. RNAcentral's name for it is "partial 18S ribosomal RNA". It matches the Rfam family "Eukaryotic small subunit ribosomal RNA", at positions 592 to 975 of the family's 1831-position model. The record is from RNAcentral.